RNAcentral lists this transfer RNA (69 nucleotides) under Xibalbanus tulumensis. RNAcentral's name for it is "tRNA-Leu". Lineage: Eukaryota; Metazoa; Arthropoda; Remipedia; Nectiopoda; Speleonectidae. The record is from RNAcentral.
AUUGGUUUGGCAGAGUAGUGCUUUAGAUUUAGGAUUUAAUAAUAUUUGGAUGCUUCCAAUUAGCCAGUU